GACGAACGCUGGCGGCGUGCUUAACACAUGCAAGUCGAACGGAAAGGCCCUGCUUGCAGGGUACUCGAGUGGCGAACGGGUGAGUAACACGUGGGUGAUCUGCCCUGCACUUCGGGAUAAGCCUGGGAAACUGGGUCUAAUACCGGAUAGGAGCCAUUUUUAGUGUGAUGGUUGGAAAGUUUUUUCGGUGUAGGAUGAGCUCGCGGCCUAUCAGCUUGUUGGUGGGGUAAUGGCCUACCAAGGCGGCGACGGGUAGCCGGCCUGAGAAGGUGGACGGCCACAUUGGGACUGAGAUACGGCCCAGACUCCUACGGGAGGCAGCAGUGGGGAAUAUUGCACAAUGGGCGCAAGCCGGAUGCAGCGACGCCGCGUGGGGGAUGACGGCCUUCGGGUUGUAAACUCCUUUCGCUAGGGACGAAGCUUUUUGUGACGGUACCUAGAUAAGAAGCACCGGCUAACUACGUG
This 465-nucleotide ribosomal RNA is filed under the name uncultured bacterium. RNAcentral describes it as "partial 16S ribosomal RNA". It matches the Rfam family "Bacterial small subunit ribosomal RNA", at positions 28 to 507 of the family's 1533-position model. The record is from RNAcentral.